RNAcentral lists this ribosomal RNA (524 nucleotides) under Lactococcus lactis. RNAcentral describes it as "bacterial SSU rRNA". It matches the Rfam family "Bacterial small subunit ribosomal RNA", at positions 71 to 578 of the family's 1533-position model. The record is from RNAcentral. Lineage: Bacteria; Bacillati; Bacillota; Bacilli; Lactobacillales; Streptococcaceae.
GGUUGGUACUUGUACCAACUGGAUGAGCAGCGAACGGGUGAGUAACGCGUGGGGAAUCUGCCUUUGAGCGGGGGACAACAUUUGGAAACGAAUGCUAAUACCGCAUAAAAACUUUAAACACAAGUUUUAAGUUUGAAAGAUGCAAUUGCAUCACUCAAAGAUGAUCCCGCGUUGUAUUAGCUAGUUGGUGAGGUAAAGGCUCACCAAGGCGAUGAUACAUAGCCGACCUGAGAGGGUGAUCGGCCACAUUGGGACUGAGACACGGCCCAAACUCCUACGGGAGGCAGCAGUAGGGAAUCUUCGGCAAUGGGACGAAAGUCUGACCGAGCAACGCCGCGUGAGUGAAGAAGGUUUUCGGAUCGUAAAACUCUGUUGGUAGAGAAGAACGUUGGUGAGAGUGGAAAGCUCAUCAAGUGACGGUAACUACCCAGAAAGGGACGGCUAACUACGUGCCAGCAGCCGCGGUAAUACGUAGGUCCCGAGCGUUGUCCGGAUUUAUUGGGGCGUAAAGCGAGCGCAGGUGG